RNAcentral lists this ribosomal RNA (509 nucleotides) under uncultured bacterium. RNAcentral's name for it is "bacterial SSU rRNA". It matches the Rfam family "Bacterial small subunit ribosomal RNA", at positions 349 to 821 of the family's 1533-position model. The record is from RNAcentral.
CAGCAGUAAGGCAUAUGUGGGAGAUGGACGCAAGUCUGAACCAGCCAUGCCGCGUGAAGGAUGAAGGCCCUCUGGAUUGUAAACUUCUUUUAUCUGGAACGAAACACUGUCUCUGCUUGAUCGCUUUGACGGUACCGUAUGAAUAAGGCACCGGCUAACUCCGUGCCAGCAGCCGCGGUAAUACGGAGCGGUCGCAAGCGUUAUCCGGAUUCACUGGGUUUAAAGGGUCGCGUAGGCGGUCUAGAGUAAGUCAGUGUGUGAAAUCCGCGUGCAGCUCAACUCCCGAACGUGCCAUUGAUACUGCCUGCCUUCGAAUUAUAGAUCGCGCAGUGAGCGGAAUAUGCUCAUGUAGCGCUGAAAUGCUUCAGCAUACUUGACAGGAGAACACCAUAUUGCGAAGCGCUAGCUCACUACGCAGUAUAUUGACGCUGAGGCACGAAAGCGUUGGCGGUACUCAAACAGGAUUAGAUACCCUGGUAGUCCACGCCUCUACACGAUGGAUACUCGCC